GAUAGAUAGAAACCCAGAAGAUACAAAGGGAUCGGAAGAGUUAUAAUCAAUUGACACAUGGCAUUUAUGGAGUUACCUAGAAUGAUACUUGUCACUAUUUGGUCAUUUGUAGGAGCAUUCAACUGAAUCAAUGCAAAAGCCGAGCACCAGAUUAAGUAGGUUCCGAGUCGUUCUUCUUUUUAUUUGGACAAUCCCCUGCUAAAUGCCCAUGUCAUCCAUAAGUGAAUCAGACUCCCAUCUUCUUAAAACAAGGCCCCCCAUGAGUCUUGCCACAGUAGGUACAUGCCUCAAA
This 292-nucleotide long non-coding RNA is filed under the name Phoenix dactylifera (date palm). RNAcentral's name for it is "long non-coding RNA (PDAC_LNC003386)". Lineage: Eukaryota; Viridiplantae; Streptophyta; Magnoliopsida; Arecales; Arecaceae. The record is from RNAcentral.